UGGGGUGUAGCUCAAUGGUAGAGCACUUGCCUAGCACGUGUGAGGCACUGGGUUCUAUCCUCAGCACCACAU
RNAcentral lists this transfer RNA (72 nucleotides) under Ictidomys tridecemlineatus (thirteen-lined ground squirrel). RNAcentral describes it as "Spermophilus tridecemlineatus (thirteen-lined ground squirrel) tRNA". It matches the Rfam family "tRNA". From Rfam's summary of the family: Transfer RNA (tRNA) molecules are approximately 80 nucleotides in length. Their secondary structure includes four short double-helical elements and three loops (D, anti-codon, and T loops). Lineage: Eukaryota; Metazoa; Chordata; Mammalia; Rodentia; Sciuridae. The record is from Rfam by way of RNAcentral.